RNAcentral lists this long non-coding RNA (2691 nucleotides) under Homo sapiens (human). RNAcentral's name for it is "HSALNT0402922". Lineage: Eukaryota; Metazoa; Chordata; Mammalia; Primates; Hominidae. The record is from RNAcentral.
GCCCUUCCACCAUGUGAGUAUACAGAGAGAAGGUAUGAUCCAUGGAUCAGGAAACCAGCCUUCCCUAGACAUGGAAUCUGCUGGCACCUUGAUUUUGAACUUCCCAGACUCCAGAACUACUCCUGCCCCUGCCACGAGAACACACCCUUUCCAGUUUGCUGGAGAAAUAUAAGAGAAGUCCAGUGAAAGAGAGCUGAGUUUCCCCAAUGAUGCCAUCAAGAUGAACUAACUACAGUUAACCAGCCAGCUGAUAGCAGAUGCAUGAGUGAGCCCAGCUGAGAGCAGGUUGUGCAAGCAUGGCACGUGCAUCUGUUUGGCUUGUGGUGAGGCCUCAGGAAGCUUACAGUCAUGGUGGAAGGCAAAGAGGGAGCCAGUACAUCACGUGAACUCGUAGAGUGAGAACUCAUUCACUACCAUGAAGACAACACCAAGCCAUUCCUGAGGUGAAACUGAAAUUGGCUGUAUCAUCUGAAACUUCAUCUGUGAAGUCCCUGGUGGUUUCCUAGAUGACUACACAGUUGAGUUGCCUCUGAUUGGAAAAGCAGUGUUUUGGUUUUUCAGUUUGUACAAGAGGAAGAAGACGCAUGAUAUGUGUUUGGCUCAUGUGCCUGAAUAUGGCUCCACAGGGAAGACUUGAUACAGCUGAAGCUAUUGCUUUUUAGAGACUUUUUAUUUUGAGCAGCUGCCUUAACAGCCUUCGUCUUGUUACAUCACAUGAGAUAUAUCUCUGGAAUAGGAAGAGAAAAAAGACAUGACUGAGCAAUAAUUUUUGACUAAAACUUAAAAUUACAAAACCAAAACCAGAGAUAGAUGUCCCUGAAGUUGUAUUUUUAUAGUAUGUGAGAACACAAUUUUCUUAUCCUAGUUUUAAGGCAUUCCUCUGGACCCAGGAUUUUUGUUUAGUUUCAUUCACAUAAUCAAACUCUUUUUUUUUUUUUUGCCAUAGACUAAUGCAUUUUGGUGUAAUGAUCUGAGCCCUUAUCCAGAAGGCAUCUAAGACUCAUGUACAAAAAUAGAUUUCAGGGCUAAACAUUCUAAAAGACAAUUGAGUGCUUCUUUUUUCUCCGGCCCCUAGAUGUAAAUGAAUAACCUCUGUUCACUAACUCUUAAUGUAAUAUAAGGGAUAAAUUAUGCUUGUUUAUUUAAUUGUGCUUAACCAGAGUACUAGGUUGGAGUCAAACCACAGAUAUAUUUGUGAGAUGUGACAAAAUGUAGCUUUUAGCCCGUAAUACCCAAGUCAUCUGGGAACAUAACUGAUGACAGUGUCAACACCUUUCAGGAAUUCUGGAGGUGCCUUUGAGUUUAGAAAUUCGUAGGUUCUCUAGAAGCAACAGUAGCAUACUAAAUUAACACAUAACAUUUCAAGCUACAUUUACAUAAUUGCAGUGGUUAUGAUUAAUACAAAUUAUAUUAACUGCCUGUUUUACUCCUUAUAGCUGAUUGGCUGAAUUUACCAGUGGGUUUGGUAUGUUCAACAAAUGAUCCAAAUUACCUUUUCAUUUCAGUUAAGAAACUAAUCAAAGCAAAUACACUUUGAUUUGUUGAGAGGCAGAGAUUCUCCCUAAGUGGCAAUGUCCUUGGCCUUCUAAGCUAAAACCUAAAUGGAACUAUAAUAUAUAUUUUGAUGCUUUAUCUCACUUGAGUUUUUUAUUCUUUAACUGAAGGGCAGCCAUGGACCAUAAAUACAUAGAAGAUAAAAAUAUAUUGAGCUUAGGAGUUUGGUCUGUUCAAUGGAUGAGAACUUUAUAUUUUCCCUUAUAAACACAAUUUUCAAAGAAUAGCCUGUAAUAGUCGUGAAAAUGGAAACCAAUACUGGGGAAAUGUGGACUGCAACUCUGAAAAGGUAUCAAAAUGCCCGAUAGUUCAACACAAGGGCUAAGCAAUAUUUCAGGGAUGUGGCCUGUCUUUGGUGGCUCGGUCACUCUAGUGAGAUGAAUUUGGAAAAGGAUAGGCAUACAGAAUCCCCCCUCUGGCAGGGUUUGCCUUUGGGGUCUGCUUAAAGCCAUGUUUGCUAGUAGAAAUCUUGAGUAACCAGAUAUGUUUUAUAAUGCUGUGUCAUAUUUAAAUUCUGAUGAGAUUGACAUCUUUAAAUAAGCUUGGACACAGAUUGGAUUUGUACAGGGAACUGGACUGAAGAAUAAUCGUAGGUCAGUAAUAGAUUUAGAUAUACUAUUUUUAUAUUGUAAGCAGUUACUUCUCAGGAUUAGUAUUCUAAUUCAUUUGAUUUAAUAUGUAAUAGGUAAUAUUAAAAAUAAAGAUUUUAUGCUUUGAAACUCCUUAACUGAAUAUUUUCAUAGGAAUAAGCAUAGUUUUUGUGUUUAGUAAUUUUAGUUAGUGAGUAAUGAUUAGCAGACAACAUGGUAAUUAUAUUGAAAUAUUACGUGAGUGCCAAUAACAAAGCUUUCUGAUCAAAUGCUAAGAAAUAUGUUGUGUAAAGGGAUCUCACAUUUUUUAUUGCGGCUUUCUUUCUACAAUGUGACAAAUUUCUGGGAUAUUUCAUUAUCUUCUUUUUGAAUUUUUUUCAAGCAAGACUGUUCAGUAUUAUGUUAGCAUUGAUAUAAAAAGAAGCAGACCAUUGUUAACAUUAAAAUGUUACUGAGAUUUCAAAGGUAGAGGACAUUAUCCUUUCUUAUUUUUCUUUAUGAUACAGUAUUUGUAACAUAGUGCUUCUGAAAUAGAAAGCACUUUUUG